Molecule: ribosomal RNA, 1042 nt
Filed under: uncultured bacterium
Lineage: Bacteria
Description: bacterial SSU rRNA
Rfam family: Bacterial small subunit ribosomal RNA
Source: RNAcentral
AGAGUUUGAUCCUGGCUCAGGAUGAACGUUGGCGGCGUGCCUAACACAUGCAAGUCGAACGGGAUUCGUCGUUUUCGGAUGGCGAUGAGAGUGGCGAACGGGUGAGUAACGCGUAACUGAUCUGCCCUGGAGACCGGGACAACGGCUGGAAACGGCUGCUAAUACCGGAUGAAGUCGAUGUGGUUGGGUUCAUGUCGACCAAAGGUUACGGCGCUCUGGGAGGGGGUUGCGUUCCAUCAGCUAGUUGGCGGGGUAAAGGCCUGCCAAGGCGAUGACGGAUAGGGGGCCUGAGAGGGUGUUCCCCCACACUGGGACUGAGACACGGCCCAGACUUCUACGGGAGGCAGCAGUGAGGGAUAUUGCACAAUGGACGGAAGUCUGAUGCAGCGACGCCGCGUGAGCGAAGAAGGUUUUCGGAUCGUAAAGUUCUUUUCUGCGUGACGAGAUAGGACGGUAGCGCAGGAAUAAGUGUCGGCUAACUACGUGCCAGCAGCCGCGGUAAAACGUAGGACGCGAACGUUAUCCGGAGUUACUGGGCGUAAAGGGCUCGUAGGCGGCCAGCCAAGUCGGACGUGAAAUCCCUCGGCUCAACCGGGGAACUGCAUCCGAUACUGGUUGGCUUGAAGCCGGGAGAGGGAUGCGGAAUUCCAGGUGUAGCGGUGAAAUGCGUAGAUAUCUGGAGGAACACCGGUGGCGAAGGCGGCAUCCUGGACCGGUCUUGACGCUGAGGAGCGAAAGCCAGGGGAGCAAACGGGAUUAGAUACCCCGGUAGUCCUGGCCCUAAACGAUGAAUGCUUGGUGUGGCGGGUAUCGAUCCCUGCCGUGCCGGAGCUAACGCAUUAAGCAUUCCGCCUGGGGAGUACGGUCGCAAGGCUGAAACUCAAAGGAAUUGACGGGGGCCCGCACAAGCGGUGGAGCAUGUGGUUUAAUUCGACGCAACGCGAAGAACCUUACCCGGGCUUGAAGUGCGAGUGACAAUCGGCGAAAGCCGACUUCCGCAAGGACACUCGUAGAGGUGCUGCAUGGCUGUCGUCAGCUCGUG